This 258-nucleotide ribosomal RNA is filed under the name uncultured bacterium. Its description in RNAcentral is "partial 16S ribosomal RNA". It matches the Rfam family "Bacterial small subunit ribosomal RNA", at positions 99 to 354 of the family's 1533-position model. The record is from RNAcentral.
CGCACGGGUGAGUAACACGUAUGCAACCUGCCUGCCACAGCCGGAUAAUCGGGAGAAAUUCCGUCUAAUACGGCAUAAUGCAUCGACGGGACAUCCUGUUGGUGCCAAAGGUUAAUUCCGGUGGCGGAUGGGCAUGCGUCGCAUUAGUUAGUUGGCGGUGUAACGGACCACCAAGACGACGAUGCGUAGGGGUUCUGAGAGGAAGGUCCCCCCACACUGGUACUGAGACACGGACCAGACUCCUACGGAAGGCAGCAG